UAAACCUUGUUUAAGCUUUGUUGGCCAUUUUUAUUCCUUCAUCUUGUACUUGCCAAUAUUGAAAGGGAGAACAAAACACAUUUGAGAUAGUAGAACACAGAAACUGAAAAAAAUCUCAAAUAGACUAACACUAUCAAAGUCUAGUUCAUAAGUACUUCAAAAGUUUUAAGCUCUCAGUUCACAAUUCAUUACAAGUUGCUCAAAGCCACUACUCAUCAAGACAUCAACAUCCCAAAAAGCCUAUAAAGAGCCAAAAUUCAAAGACCCAUUUCACCAAGUGAGACUACUUGCUUCUUAAGAUUGAGCAUCCCAUUAGACUCCAUAAAAUGAAUGCCAUAUGAUACUUUUCUCAUCACCCUGAAAUACGAUUUACCAUAAAUAUAUGAUGACCACUAGUUUCGCAUGAUCAGUACUUCCAUUUUCAUAUCAAAACUACACAGAUUCAUCCUUCCACUACUCAGUUGCUUGGGUGGGGG
RNAcentral lists this unclassified non-coding RNA (476 nucleotides) under Hevea brasiliensis (rubber tree). The record is from RNAcentral. Lineage: Eukaryota; Viridiplantae; Streptophyta; Magnoliopsida; Malpighiales; Euphorbiaceae.